CUAGAAACAAGGGACAUUAGGAUAGAAAAGAGGGGCAGAGGGAAUAUGCCCAAAAUAGAGCGUGUCCCUCUCCCCCCAUCCAGCUGCUAGUGGACAGGAGAGCACCUGGGCUAGAACUCUAACACUUCUCAAGUAAGAUUGCCAGACUCGCCAUAUCCCCUUAGACAUAUCUCCUUUCUGGCAAGGCUUCUCUGAGUCCCAUAAUGUAAUACAAACACAUACUUUCCAAGUGGCCUGGAAUUCCUAACACAGUCCUUUCUUUGUGACCCAGUAUCUCACUGCCAUAUUUUUCAUCCUAUGGUGGUUGGAAGCCGCUCUUUGAAUCUUUCCCGUGUGAUUUGAAACGGUUUGUUUAAUGGAAGCGCUUUCAAGAAGAAUUCUAAAUACAUUUCACAUUUUUGUCACGAAAAACUGAAAUGAGAAAAUUUUCCAUUUAACCUAUGCUUUCAGUGGGCCCUAAAUUGAGGCGAUUUAACCCUGUGUUAUACAAGUAUGUUUCCUUCUAAGUUGUUAUAAUAGAAAUACUGAAGUGGAUAAACUGGCCUUUGUGGGAACCUGUGCGCUAAAACAGCCGAGUUAGAACAAUUCAGCUGUUUGCGUGUUUUUUCUACGUUGCUUCUUUUGGCUUCAG
Pelobates cultripes (western spadefoot toad) is the source of this 631-nucleotide non-coding RNA. The record is from the annotation of a GenBank genome assembly. Lineage: Eukaryota; Metazoa; Chordata; Amphibia; Anura; Pelobatidae.